CAAGGAUAAAACACCCUAAACUCCAAUCAAAUCAUUAUUUAAUCUACAAUGGAGUGCAUGUAAUGAGUUAGAGGGCCAUGAGAUAUCAAGUUGAAUAUUGUUGAUUCAUCUUUCUAACGUCGUCGAGUCGACUAAAUUUUGAGUUCGUAUGAAGAAGAUAUGACUUUUUAAGUGCAAUCUAUAUAGUUGGAAAUUCAUCCGUUUUGAAGAGGGAUAUUUUGGUCUUUUUCUUACCCCAAUAUCCUAGCAAGUUUUACCCACCUAAGGUAAGGGGUCAAAAUAUAUCAAGUGAAUUUUCAUUCGAUCUAAAAACGUUUGAAAAGUUAUGGCAAAGUUCAAGAAAAAGGGAGAAAACUUCGAGCUUCAUCGAGUUUUGAGAAUUUUUGCUAAGAACUUGAUUCUUUCGAGGAAUUCAGGGUCAUCAAUAGGCGCUCCAUUGAUACCACUUGCAAUUCGUAAUUUGCUUUGAUGCGGGUAACCAGGAUCAAUAUCGAGCGCCUCGUUAAUCCAGGUUGAGCACUCAGAGUUUGUUGGUGAGCCUCCUUGCUUUCUAAAGACCCAUUUUAUUUUGUUUUCAGUAUUUAAGUUUUAGGAUGAUUGGGGGUAUUCUCCCAACAUCCCUCUUUGUAAUAGAGGCUUCAUAGAUAGACAAUUUAAUAAUUUAUCAGUCUUUACAUUAUCAUUCUAUGUCAAAGACUUGAGUUGUCAUUUUGUCCAAGUGAAUGUUUGGUUCUUUUAA
This is a long non-coding RNA of Solanum lycopersicum (tomato), 739 nucleotides long. RefSeq lists it as uncharacterized. Lineage: Eukaryota; Viridiplantae; Streptophyta; Magnoliopsida; Solanales; Solanaceae. The record is from RefSeq and is a predicted model, not a curated record.